GGCGCGCUUAACGCAUGCAAGUCGAGCGAUGAGGCUCCCUUCGGGGAGUACAUCAGCGGCAGACGGGUGAGUAACACGUAGAUAACCUGCCCUCAAGACGGGGACAACCGGUGGAAACAGCGGCUAAUACCCGAUAUGCUCACAGGAUCGGGAGAUCGAGUGAGGAAAGCGCCCCUUCGGGGGAGAGUGUUUGAGGAGGGAUCUGCGGCCCAUCAGCUAGUUGGUGAGGUAACGGCUCACCAAGGCGAAGACGGGUAGGGGGUGUGAGAGCAUGGCCCCCCACAAUGGGACUGAGACACGGCCCAUACUCCUACGGGAGGCAGCAGCGGGGAAUAUUGCGCAAUGGACGGAAGUCAGACGCAGCGACGCCGCGUGGGUGAGGAAGGCCUUCGGGUUGUAAAGCCCUUUUCAGGGGAGCGAGAAAGGACGGUACCCUUGGAAUAAGCGUCGGCUAACUACGUGCCAGCAGCCGCGGUAAGACGUAGGACGCAAGCGUUAUCCGGAUUUACUGGGCGUAAAGCGCCUGUAGGCGGUCAAGUAAGUCGGAUGUGAAAGCCCCGUGCUCAACGCGGGGAAGCCAUUCGAUACUGCGUGACUAGAGAACGGCAGAGGGAAACGGAAUUUCUGGUGUAGCGGUAAAAUGCGCAGAGAUCAGAAAGAACACCGAUGGCGAAGGCAGUUUCCUAGGCCGCAUCUGACGCUGAGAGGCGAAAGCUAGGGGAGCAAACAGGAUUAGAGACCCUGGUAGUCCUAGCUGUAAACGAUGGAUGCUAGGUGUGGGCCGGAAAGGUCCGUGCCGUAGUUAACGCGAUAAGCAUCCCGCCUGGGGAGUACGCCCGCAAGGCUAAAACUCAAACGAAUUGACGGGGACCC
Molecule: ribosomal RNA, 873 nt
Filed under: uncultured organism
Description: bacterial SSU rRNA
Rfam family: Bacterial small subunit ribosomal RNA
Source: RNAcentral